GGGCUAUGGCUCAGCAGUAGAGCGCCUUGUUUACAUAUGACCGAGAGUGUCUACGAUUCGAAUCCGUAUAAUCCUA
Molecule: transfer RNA, 76 nt
Filed under: Deparia lancea
Lineage: Eukaryota; Viridiplantae; Streptophyta; Polypodiopsida; Polypodiales; Athyriaceae
Description: tRNA-Val
Rfam family: tRNA
About the family: Transfer RNA (tRNA) molecules are approximately 80 nucleotides in length. Their secondary structure includes four short double-helical elements and three loops (D, anti-codon, and T loops). Further hydrogen bonds mediate the characteristic L-shaped molecular structure. tRNAs have two regions of fundamental functional importance: the anti-codon, which is responsible for specific mRNA codon recognition, and the 3' end, to which the tRNAs corresponding amino acid is attached (by aminoacyl-tRNA synthetases). tRNAs cope with the degeneracy of the genetic code in two manners: having more than one tRNA (with a specific anti-codon) for a particular amino acid; and 'wobble' base-pairing, i.e. permitting non-standard base-pairing at the 3rd anti-codon position.
Source: RNAcentral